GACGAACGCUGGCGGCGUGCUUAACACAUGCAAGUCGAACGGAAAGGCCCGGCUUUUGUGGGGUGCUCGUGUGGCGAACGGGUGAGUAACACGUGUGUAUCCUGCCCUUGACUUUGGGGUAACUUCAGGAAACUGGGUCGAAUACCGGAUAGGAGCUCCUGCUGCGUGGGGGUGGAUGGAGAGUGUCGGCGGUUGUGGAUGGACUCGCUGCUUAUCAGCUGGUUUGGGAGGUAGUGGCUUACCAAGGCUUUGACGGGUAGCCGGCCUGAGAGGGUUACCGGCGACAUUGGGACUGAGAUACGGAGCAGACUGCUACGGGAGGCAGCAGUGGGGAAUAUUACACAAUGGGCGCACGCCAGAUGCAGCGACGCCGCGUGCGGAAUGAUGGCCUUCGGGUUGUAAACAGAUUUCGCAUGUGACGAAGCGAGAGUGACGGUACUGGGUCAAGAAGCACCGGCUAACUACGUG
RNAcentral lists this ribosomal RNA (468 nucleotides) under uncultured bacterium. RNAcentral describes it as "partial 16S ribosomal RNA". It matches the Rfam family "Bacterial small subunit ribosomal RNA", at positions 28 to 507 of the family's 1533-position model. The record is from RNAcentral.